RNAcentral lists this ribosomal RNA (1372 nucleotides) under uncultured bacterium. RNAcentral's name for it is "bacterial SSU rRNA". It matches the Rfam family "Bacterial small subunit ribosomal RNA", at positions 28 to 1381 of the family's 1533-position model. The record is from RNAcentral.
GAUGAACGCUGGCGGCGUGCCUAAUACAUGCAAGUCGAGCGAACGGACGAGAAGCUUGCUUCUCUGAUGUUAGCGGCGGACGGGUGAGUAACACGUGGAUAACCUACCUAUAAGACUGGGAUAACUUCGGGAAACCGGAGCUAAUACCGGAUAAUAUUUUGAACCGCAUGGUUCAAAAGUGAAAGACGGUCUUGCUGUCACUUAUAGAUGGAUCCGCGCUGCAUUAGCUAGUUGGUAAGGUAACGGCUUACCAAGGCAACGAUGCAUAGCCGACCUGAGAGGGUGAUCGGCCACACUGGAACUGAGACACGGUCCAGACUCCUACGGGAGGCAGCAGUAGGGAAUCUUCCGCAAUGGGCGAAAGCCUGACGGAGCAACGCCGCGUGAGUGAUGAAGGUCUUCGGAUCGUAAAACUCUGUUAUUAGGGAAGAACAUAUGUGUAAGUAACUGUGCACAUCUUGACGGUACCUAAUCAGAAAGCCACGGCUAACUACGUGCCAGCAGCCGCGGUAAUACGUAGGUGGCAAGCGUUAUCCGGAAUUAUUGGGCGUAAAGCGCGCGUAGGCGGUUUUUUAAGUCUGAUGUGAAAGCCCACGGCUCAACCGUGGAGGGUCAUUGGAAACUGGAAAACUUGAGUGCAGAAGAGGAAAGUGGAAUUCCAUGUGUAGCGGUGAAAUGCGCAGAGAUAUGGAGGAACACCAGUGGCGAAGGCGACUUUCUGGUCUGUAACUGACGCUGAUGUGCGAAAGCGUGGGGAUCAAACAAGAUUAGAUACCCUGGUAGUCCACGCCGUAAACGAUGAGUGCUAAGUGUUAGGGGGUUUCCGCCCCUUAGUGCUGCAGCUAACGCAUUAAGCACUCCGCCUGGGGAGUACGACCGCAAGGUUGAAACUCAAAGGAAUUGACGGGGACCCGCACAAGCGGUGGAGCAUGUGGUUUAAUUCGAAGCAACGCGAAGAACCUUACCAAAUCUUGACAUCCUUUGACAACUCUAGAGAUAGAGCCUUCCCCUUCGGGGGACAAAGUGACAGGUGGUGCAUGGUUGUCGUCAGCUCGUGUCGUGAGAUGUUGGGUUAAGUCCCGCAACGAGCGCAACCCUUAAGCUUAGUUGCCAUCAUUAAGUUGGGCACUCUAAGUUGACUGCCGGUGACAAACCGGAGGAAGGUGGGGAUGACGUCAAAUCAUCAUGCCCCUUAUGAUUUGGGCUACACACGUGCUACAAUGGACAAUACAAAGGGCAGCGAAACCGCGAGGUCAAGCAAAUCCCAUAAAGUUGUUCUCAGUUCGGAUUGUAGUCUGCAACUCGACUACAUGAAGCUGGAAUCGCUAGUAAUCGUAGAUCAGCAUGCUACGGUGAAUACGUUCCCGGGUCU